This 253-nucleotide ribosomal RNA is filed under the name uncultured bacterium. RNAcentral's name for it is "partial 16S ribosomal RNA". It matches the Rfam family "Bacterial small subunit ribosomal RNA", at positions 524 to 776 of the family's 1533-position model. The record is from RNAcentral.
GACAGAGGGUGCAAACGUUGCUCGGAAUUACUGGGCGUAAAGCGCGUGUAGGCGGACCUGCAAGUCGGACGUGAAAUCCCUGAGCUCAACUCAGGAACUGCAUCCGAAACUGCGGGUCUGGAGUGGUGGAGAGGGAAGCAGAAUUCCUGGUGUAGAGGUGAAAUUCGUAGAUAUCAGGAGGAACACCGGUGGCGAAGGCGGCUUCCUGGACACUUACUGACGCUGAGACGCGAAAGCGUGGGGAGCAAACAGG